RNAcentral lists this long non-coding RNA (976 nucleotides) under Salmo salar (Atlantic salmon). RNAcentral describes it as "lncRNA (ENSSSAG00000094708.1)". The record is from RNAcentral. Lineage: Eukaryota; Metazoa; Chordata; Actinopteri; Salmoniformes; Salmonidae.
UGGACACACACAGUAAGCAGGCUGUACCAGGAGGAGCCGUGGACACACACAGUAAGCAGGCUGUACCAGGAGGAGCCGUGGACACACACAAUCCCGAGAGAGAGAGAGAGAGAGAGAGAGAGCGAGAGAAGCUCUGCUACAAAGAAGUGUCAACUUAUUCACCUACACCUUCAGUCUCUAUUGUCUUACCAAUAAAGGGGUGCAAUGCACAGUAUCACCAUCAUGAACCAAACCAACAACAAAGGCCAAAAGGAUAGAAAAAGAGAGAAGCCAAAAGAAAGGAGGGGGUCAUGGUGAUACAUGACCUGCCAGAGCAACAGGUCCCUCUCUGGUGAGUUUGAGCUGUGUGUUGUUGUUGUUGGUAUUUUGAUGUGGCAGACCAAUGGGUGGCGUUGUGUUCAGGUCAAUCUUUGCAUGGGGUAAUGCACCUCUCUCUAUCUCUUGUUCUUUCACUCUCUCUCUCUUUCUCUUUCUCUCUCUCACUCUUUCUUUCUCUCUAUCCAACGGUCUUUAUUUCUCCUCUUAACACCUUUAUCAUCACCUGUGAGUCAGGUGUUCAGUCACAGCUCCACACACCAGAAAACCAGAGGGUGAGAGAAAGAGAGAGAGGGAGGAAGGGAAGGAGGGUGGACAAGAACAGUUACGCAUGCUUUGUACAUAUACAUUACACAUGUACAUUACACAUGUAUAUGUAUGUACGUGGUGCACAACGCUACCACAAUCAGUGGGAUGCACUGUAAUUUGCACGAAGGAUGUUCAUCAAAGGAAAUUAAUGGGAGUAUUGCUGGAAAACUCAACAACUGUGCAAGCGUGCUACUACAACCAUUACAUCAUCUCACUGCAGCAGUCACACACACACGCACGCGCACACGCACCACACACCACACACACACACACACACAAACACAUACAGGUAUCAUUUUCAGACGCUCAGUUAUCGAGUCUCUCUGUGUCACAGAUCCAUCCUCUCGAGGCC